CAGGUAGAAAGGAUGAAUAGAAC
Molecule: non-coding RNA, 23 nt
Filed under: Cricetulus griseus (Chinese hamster)
Lineage: Eukaryota; Metazoa; Chordata; Mammalia; Rodentia; Cricetidae
Source: RNAcentral